AGUGAACGCUGGCGGUGGGCCUAACACAUGCAAGUCGAACGGCAGCACAGUAAGAGCUUGCUCUUACGGGUGGCGAGUGGCGGAAGGGUGAGGAAUACAUCGGCAUCUACUUUUUCGUGGGGGAUCACGUAGGGAAACUUACGAUAAUACCGCAUACGACCUACGGGUGAAAGCAGGGGAUCUUCGGACCUUGCGCGAUUGAAUGAGCCGAUGUCGGAUUGGCUAGUUGGCGGGGUACAGGCCCACCAAGGCGACGAUCCGUAGCUGGUGUGAGAGGCUGAUCGCCCGCCUGGGAACUUGGACACGGUCCAGACGCCUACGGGAGGCAGCAGGCUGGAAUAGUGGACAAUGGGCGCGAGCCUGAUCCAGCCAUACCGCGUGGGUUAAGAAGGCCUUCGGGUUGUAAAGCCCUUUUGUGGGGAAAGAAAAGCAGCAGGUUAAUACCCCGCUGUUCUGACGGUACCCAAAGAAUAAGCACCGGCUAACUUCGUG
RNAcentral lists this ribosomal RNA (492 nucleotides) under uncultured bacterium. RNAcentral describes it as "partial 16S ribosomal RNA". It matches the Rfam family "Bacterial small subunit ribosomal RNA", at positions 29 to 507 of the family's 1533-position model. The record is from RNAcentral.